UGCCUUGAAAGCACACCAAACGAAGGAAAGCA
This 32-nucleotide non-coding RNA is filed under the name Homo sapiens (human). The record is from RNAcentral. Lineage: Eukaryota; Metazoa; Chordata; Mammalia; Primates; Hominidae.